AAAUUUUUCUCUGUUCUUAUUAAAAAAAUUCAAGACUUUUUUCAGUCAAAUGUUACAAUGUUCAGUGCAAUACAAUUUCGUGUGUGCUGUUUUUGCGACUGAUGGGAAGAAAACCUUACUUGAAAUUAUAUUUAGUUUGCAAAAAAUAUAAAUAAAAUAAAAUCUGGAUCUCUCUAAGUGCAAUCAACUCAGAAGAACUCCAAACUUCAAUCGUUCACCAAGUAUUGAUACUUCGCGGCUAGGUGGACGUAAAUCUAUAAGUUAAUAGGAAAUUUGGACAGGCUAAUUGAUCUACAUCUGCAUGAUCUCAAAAGCUUAUUGGUCUUUUGCUAAAAUCUCUUAAAUUAGGAGUUGAUUUUCAAUAUAAACACUGCGAAUUGCCCUCGGAGAUAUUGGGAAUGUACUUGCAUGAGUAUGAAACCCUGGUUGUACCUAUUGAAAAGCUAAGAGAUGUAGAAGUGUUGAACAGGGCAUUUUUUCCGAAAUUUCCAUCAUUUGACUGAAAAUCGUUUUGAAUAAGAAAAGAGGAAAGAAGAAAGAGACUUAGAGUUAAAGGGAGAAAAAAUCAAUCAAUCAAUUUAUUUUUUUAAUGGGUCCUCUAAAUGAGUUUGGGUCAUGGACACUAAAAUGGGUGGGUAGAAAAAAUGGAUUGGGAUUCAAUUUAUCCAAUAAGAAAUUGACACCUAAUAAGUGAUAAUAAUAAUAAUAAUAAUAUAUACAUAUUUAAAAGAUUGUUAGUAUUAAAGGUAGAAAUAGACCAAAUAGGUGGAUUGAGGGAUAUUCUUAGCCCAAUAGGUGGAUUGAGGAGUAUUUUUAACUCAAUAGGCGGAUGAGGGGUAUUUUUGGACCUUUUUCAUAUAGUCUAGGGGUAUUUCUGGUCCUUUUCCCAUAUAUAAUACUUUUUUUUAAUUUCUAAUUUAUUUUAAUUGUCCGAUCGUUCUCAAAUUAAACUCUAUGCCUCUUCAUCUUUCCCAAAAAUAGUACAACCCAUCAUCUUUUGCAGAUUUUUUUUCUUCCCCAGAUUCGCUCGUCCUUCCCCAGACGCCUCUUCCCAAACGCUCCUCUCCUCUCCCAUUGCGUUUGCCGAGAACGUCUAUGCACCACCGGAAAAAAUGCAAUAUCCGGCGGAUUUGAACCGCUGACCAUCAAUCAUGGCCCCUUCCCAUCAACUUUAUGUCAUUUAUAUCUCUUUUUCUGAUCGAAGCAGGCCUAGAAAAUCUUGAUCAUCACUAUUGUUAGACCUGAAAUUAUGGGGGACGCGAAGAACCAUCAGAUUUUUGCUUAGCUCUUAAUCUAAUGGGUCUGAAGCCUUCACCAAAUUUGUCUAUAAAAGACAACCAUUGACAUCGAACAGAGGGGAGACGUGGAGAAAGAGACGGCAGAAGGGAGGAGAAAGAACGAGAAAAAAAGAGAGGAAGAAAAAGAGAGGAGAGAAAGGGAGAAGGGAGGAGAAAGAGACUAGAGAAAGGGAGAAGGAAGGAGAAAGAUUAGGAAAAAAAGAGAAAGGGAGAAGAAGAAAGAAAGGAGGAGGAGAGAAAAAUCAAUCCUUCAUAAAGAAAACGGAUGGAACAACAUUGAAUAAUCAAUCAAGAAUCAUAAAAUAGCUCCUCUGAUUUUUCUUUUACCUCUCUGCUUUUCGUUUGGCUUCGAGUUGGAGUAGGUUUGAAGGUGGAAUAUCUUGACGUCAAAACUCUUGUUUGCUGCUCAACACAAGCUAGAAUUUCUACUUUGAAACUCGUUAUUGGCCUAAGAUAAUAGGCCAACAACAAAUUAUUAUCACCGCAAUGCUUGGAGUCUCAUAAAUAGGAGUCUAAUAUUUUCUUAGUCUUUCUUUUGUUGCUUUAAUUAUAUUGUUUUGAUAUGUCGACUAGCUUUUAAUUACAAAUUUGAAUAUAUUGCUUGUCCUUUAUUUUUGACGUUUAUUUAUGUGAGUUAACAUUAUAUGCUUGUAAAUUUAGUUGAAACAACUUUAGAAACAAAGAUAUAAAAAAUAUCUUCUUAAAAUGGGUUGACACUUUUUUUACCUACAACAAUCUUUAAGGUCUUUUAAGUUGAAAGGGUCUUAUAGUUUAAGAAUUUUUCAAAUAAAGUUUCAAAAGGGUUGAACAUAUCAUGUAUGCCUAACUGUUUGCCAAAUAACUUUAAAAAUAGUUUAUAUGCUAAAAUAAUCACCCUUAGAAAUAUGUUAGGCUAAAAUAAUUAAUUUUCUUGAAAUAUAUGUUGAAAAUAUGUUAGCUAAAAUAAUUACUUGUCUUGAAAUUUAUUUUGAAAAUUAGGCGCUAUGUUUUUAUGAACAAAAAUGACAUAAAAAUUUUAGUUAUAAAAUAAGUCCCAAUAGUUAACCCUUUUUUAUCACCACUUUACUCCUAUAUUAGAAAAGGCAUAAUCAACAUGCUUGCUUCAAGGGCUAUUUUGGUCUUUACAAUGCUUGCUUCAAGGGUUAUUUUGGUCUUUACAAGUAUAUGGUUAGCUGUCUUUUCUUUGUUAAUCUAUUUUGCCUUUUCAUUUUCUCAGCUAACGUGUCUUCUUCUGAUAAAAUGAAAAUGCAUGUCUUCCUCCUCCUAUGUCUUCCUCCUAAUGCUUCAAUUCACUAUUUACACAUGGAAGUUCACUCUCUUCAGCCUUCUCAAGCCUUCUCCAGAGACCCUUUUAAGCCCAAAGGCCUUUCUUGAUUUUUCCAUAAAGAUGCCAGUUUGAAGUAACCAUCAAGGAUGAUACUGGUUCAACAACAGCCAUGAUUUCAGAUAAAAUUGGAGAAGAACUAUUGUCUCUAACUGUAGCAGAAAUUCAUGACAUACGUUGCAUCAAGAAACAACUGUUGUCACUCGUAUCCGUGCAACACAAACUGCUAGGCAAGACAUUCACCGUCCAAAUAAAGAAGUUGUUUGCCAAAAACAAGGAUGCAUCUUCAGCAAAACUGUUUAUCAUGUCAAUCAUCGAGACAGAUAUAGCUAGCAAUCUGCCACUGCCCAUCAACGCACCAACAACUCCAGAAAGCAGUAAACGCAAGCUGAAGCAAAUCAUGAUAAAAGAAGACUAAAAGUGUAAUACUUUUUUGUAAUAUGGUUGGCAACACCAUUUUGUCUUGAUGGCGUACACUUUUGGUGCUGAUAGCAUGGACUUUGCUGCAUAGUUAUAAGAAAUUGACAG
Solanum pennellii is the source of this 3150-nucleotide long non-coding RNA. RefSeq lists it as uncharacterized. The record is from RefSeq and is a predicted model, not a curated record. The transcript is spliced from 5 exons. NCBI's taxonomy places the organism in Eukaryota, Viridiplantae, Streptophyta, Magnoliopsida, Solanales, Solanaceae.